This 468-nucleotide ribosomal RNA is filed under the name uncultured bacterium. RNAcentral's name for it is "partial 16S ribosomal RNA". It matches the Rfam family "Bacterial small subunit ribosomal RNA", at positions 28 to 507 of the family's 1533-position model. The record is from RNAcentral.
GACGAACGCUGGCGGCGUGCUUAACACAUGCAAGUCGAACGGAAAGGCCCUGCUUUUGUGGGGUGCUCGAGUGGCGAACGGGUGAGUAACACGUGAGUAACCUGCCCUUGACUUUGGGAUAACUUCAGGAAACUGGGGCUAAUACCGGAUAGGAGCUCCUGCUGCAUGGUGGGGGUUGGAAAGUUUCGGCGGUUGGGGAUGGACUCGCGGCUUAUCAGCUUGUUGGUGGGGUAGUGGCUUACCAAGGCUUUGACGGGUAGCCGGCCUGAGAGGGUGACCGGCCACAUUGGGACUGAGAUACGGCCCAGACUCCUACGGGAGGCAGCAGUGGGGAAUAAUGCAUAAUGGGCGGAAGCCUGAUGCAGCAACGCCGCGUGCGGGAUGACGGCCUUCGUGUUGUAAACCGCUUGCGCCUGUGACGAAGCGUGAGUGACGGUAAUGGGUAAAGAAGCACCGGCUAACUACGUG